AGGAGGAGCUCCCUUUUUCGCUGUCUCGGCGUGGGUGCGGUGUGUGCUCUCGGUGGUGAGCCGGUCGCUCGUGUGGUGUGCGUGUCCUCGCUCCUCUCUCCUGGCCGUAACCGAGGUCGGAGCGAGCGUCCCCCCUUUUCGGUCCCGGAGGUUAGCUUCGAAGGGCUAGGUCUAGGCUGGGCCGCCCGGGCAGGGGCCGGCGGGUCGGCCUAGGGCCGCCGCGCCCGGCGACGGCCUCCACCGUAGCCAAACCGAUCACGAGGCCACUCGGGAAAACGCCCUGCCCUUCCCUAAGCGAUGCCGGACGCCCCACCAGACUCUACCUCCUGGACGACCUGCGGCUCUAGCCGUUCUUGCUGAUGCUGACCGAAGAAUGAGGCGGACCCUGCGGGGCACAAGGACGAGACCUCCAACGAGUCUUUUAUGGUAGGAGUUUAUAUAAUGGAUUCGCGUGGGAGUGAUCUAGAAGGAGUUGAUGUUCUCGUAGUUCCGAAAGCCACAGAGUUUGUCUCUUACCUGUAAGACGUCAAGGGCGAUCUGGUCGUUCUUCAUUGAGACAUUGGGCGGGAAGAUAGGUUAGUUGAGAGUACAGUUCGUUAUUGUCCUGUCGCCAAGAGUUGCGCUCAUAAAGUAGACAGUCAAGUUCUGGAUGUUGGGGUUCAUCCGCUUCGUCGUGGUAACGACGCGGUUUUGUUAACCACGGUCGAAGUGCAGGUCAAGGUCGUUCCAGUAGAUGAGGACAAUUUGGAGCAGGUAGAUGUGGUAGGUUUUGAGCGGGCAGAUGAGGACACUUUUGAGUAGUUCGUUGUAGGUUGAGACGUUGACUGCAUCGACGACGGUCCUGGUGUCGGUGGGUUUCAAGCUCCGGUAGCUGAGGUUUAAGAGCCAGAGCUUAAUACAACUUAAGUAGAAGUCCCAGAUAAGGACGUUACUCGGCGGGUUCGGGUAGGCAUCCAUAGUAAGGACGUUGCUCGGCGGGUCCGCGAAGGAGUUCAUUACCAGUACCCUGUUCAGUAGGGUGGAGUAACAGAAGACCAUGUCAAGGAAGUCACUCAGCGAGGUCGAGUGCUAGUAGAUGUGGAUGUGCAGUCGGACGUCACGCAAGUAGCUGGGGUCGAUACCCGGCAAGCGGAAGAAAACCUGCGUGAAGAUCAUCGUUAUCGAACUGCUGUAGAUACUUGGCUGGACGUCGAUCAUCACCGGCUUCAAGUCGUGGCAGUAGUCGAGGUAGUAGGGCAGGUUCAAGGGGUCCAGGUGCUGGGGCUCGAGGUCACGCGAGUGUACUGUAAGGAAGUAGCCGAGGUCGUAGAGCAGGUUCAAGGGGUCCAGGUGCUGGUGCUCGAGGUCACGCCGGUGUACUAUGGGGAAGUAGUCGAGGAAGUAGAGCAGGUUCGAGGGGUUCAGGUGCCGGGGCUCGAGGCCACGCCGGUGAACUAUAGGGACUAAAGGGUUUACUUUGCGGUGGUUUGGAUUCCUGUUUCGAUGGACUCGCUGGUGAUAGACGACCAUCUAGUGCGGGCCCUUACCGAAGUCCUUAUUCUAGUUUGGGUGUACGACUUGUCAAUCGACGGAGCCGAGGUCGUUUUUUCGAGAGGCACGGACGACGUUCAGCAUUAUUCAAAAGACUAGGUGGUAGUUUCCGCGGAAGAGCGAGUUUACCUGUGGUUUUAUCCGUCAGACUUUCCAGGCAACAACUGUCAGUUCGAUGAUCCUGACGUGCCUGACCACGUCAACGUCCUCUAUUACCUAAACCCUCCUGUUAAAGUUUCUUAAGUGAACUGUACCGUUAGUUCGUGUACCUGUAAGCCGUCUUGAACCCACCGUAGGCACCCCGUAGGGACAAAGGCGUGUCGUAGGCGAGUUCGUGGCCGUUCCAGGCAGGCCAGGCUUACAGACUGGGGCCCGUAGAGUGGAGCUUGUCACUGGUGGCCGUGAUGCGCCUGUUGCCGUCGCGGUUGCCCGUGAAGAAGAGGUCGCUGAGGAUACCUCGGGACAGAGCGUUGCCCCCGUCGAGUUGGCUGAGCGGCCUGGCCCCCUCGAAGCUCUGGUUCCUCUGCAGGGACUCGCUCGACCUGUAGAUGCCGUCGAGCGCCAUGCUCCGCUACGACGACUCCCCCCUCCUGCACUCCUUGUGCUCGACCGACGUGCCGCCCAAGCUGCUGCUGUUCGGACUGGUCUCGGGGGACAAGCUGGUGGCCAAGCUCGGCGAGGGCCUCGGGAAGUCGGGGAAGACUGCGGCUGCCGGCGGAGGGGGACAGACAUACAUUUCAGACAGGGGGGCCAGUAGCGGACAAAGGGUGCGGGGAAGCAAGACACAAACGUGUGCUACACAUCGGACGUACGGGAAACUAGACAAAGACAAAGUAUCAACCAAGACGCCGGAGACGUGCGUGCGGGAAAGAAGAAGAAGACGGCUUUACCUGCUCCGACUCUCUUUGAGGCCCAAACACAUUGAAUUAAACAACAACGGAUCUCCGGCCUCCCAACAAAAAAGAAGUGUCUUCUAACAACAACAUGACUUUUUAGCUUUUUCAUGUCUAUCUAUGAACUACUUGUCAUUUCUCGUAAACACUCAACAAC
This 2580-nucleotide ribosomal RNA is filed under the name Triticum aestivum (bread wheat). RNAcentral describes it as "partial small subunit ribosomal RNA". Lineage: Eukaryota; Viridiplantae; Streptophyta; Magnoliopsida; Poales; Poaceae. The record is from RNAcentral.